RNAcentral lists this transfer RNA (73 nucleotides) under Thermotoga petrophila. RNAcentral describes it as "transfer RNA-Ala". It matches the Rfam family "tRNA". Rfam says of the family: Transfer RNA (tRNA) molecules are approximately 80 nucleotides in length. Their secondary structure includes four short double-helical elements and three loops (D, anti-codon, and T loops). Lineage: Bacteria; Thermotogati; Thermotogota; Thermotogae; Thermotogales; Thermotogaceae. The record is from RNAcentral.
GGGACGUAGCUCAGCUGGGAGAGCGCCUGCUUUGCAAGCAGGAGGUCAGGGGUUCGAAUCCCCUCGUCUCCAC